GCCGGCGUAGCUCAACGGUAGAGCACGGCUUUCGUAAAGCCGGGGUUGUGGGUUCGAUUCCCACCGCCGGCCCCA
This 75-nucleotide transfer RNA is filed under the name Candidatus Brocadiia bacterium. RNAcentral's name for it is "tRNA-Thr". It matches the Rfam family "tRNA". Rfam says of the family: Transfer RNA (tRNA) molecules are approximately 80 nucleotides in length. Their secondary structure includes four short double-helical elements and three loops (D, anti-codon, and T loops). Further hydrogen bonds mediate the characteristic L-shaped molecular structure. tRNAs have two regions of fundamental functional importance: the anti-codon, which is responsible for specific mRNA codon recognition, and the 3' end, to which the tRNAs corresponding amino acid is attached (by aminoacyl-tRNA synthetases). tRNAs cope with the degeneracy of the genetic code in two manners: having more than one tRNA (with a specific anti-codon) for a particular amino acid; and 'wobble' base-pairing, i.e. permitting non-standard base-pairing at the 3rd anti-codon position. Lineage: Bacteria; Pseudomonadati; Planctomycetota; Candidatus Brocadiia. The record is from RNAcentral.